This 358-nucleotide unclassified non-coding RNA is filed under the name Haliotis rubra (blacklip abalone). RNAcentral's name for it is "calmodulin-4-like, transcript variant X1". The record is from RNAcentral. Lineage: Eukaryota; Metazoa; Mollusca; Gastropoda; Lepetellida; Haliotidae.
AGCAAGCUGUCGACACUAACAAGAAUAAGGUUGCCGACCUCUCCGAAUUCCAAGCCCUCUUCGACCAGUACGAUCUGAACAAGGACGACCAGGUGCCCGUGGCGGAGUACUUGCAGGCAACUGGAGGCGUGGGGAAAGGACCAGCUGCGUUCUUCGCCCUCCUCGACCCCAACAACGACGGCGUUAUUCACAAAUCAGAAUUGCCUGCCGUUCUUAGCAAAUUCGACGUCAAUGGCAAUGGCAAGGUCUCGGAGGAAGAGUUUAUCAAGCAUUAUGGUGAUCUUUACAAUAAAGUCCUCGCCAUGCAGAUUUCCAUUGGUAAAUAGAUGCCGGUUUUAUGAAUAAAGAUAUUUCAACA